CCCCUUGAAGAACACAAGGUAGAUAGGUGAGAGGUGUAAGUGCAGCAAUGUAUUCAGCUGACUCAUACUAAUAGGUCGAGGACUUAAUCAA
Ribosomal RNA from Clostridium cadaveris, 91 nucleotides. It matches the Rfam family "Bacterial large subunit ribosomal RNA", at positions 2834 to 2925 of the family's 2925-position model. NCBI's taxonomy places the organism in Bacteria, Bacillati, Bacillota, Clostridia, Eubacteriales, Clostridiaceae. The record is from Rfam.